This 433-nucleotide ribosomal RNA is filed under the name uncultured bacterium. Its description in RNAcentral is "partial 16S ribosomal RNA". It matches the Rfam family "Bacterial small subunit ribosomal RNA", at positions 29 to 507 of the family's 1533-position model. The record is from RNAcentral.
AACGAACGCUGGCGGCAUGCCUAACACAUGCAAGUCGAACGAGACCUUCGGGUCUAGUGGCGCACAGGUGCGUAACGCGUGGGAACCUGCCCUUAGGCUCGGAAUAACUCCCCGAAAGGGGUGCUAAUACCGGAUAAUGUCUUCGGACCAAAGAUUUAUCGCCUUUGGAUGGGCCCGCGUUGGAUUAGCCGGUUGGUAGGGUAAAAGCCUACCACGGCGACGAUCCAUAGCUGGUCUGAGAGGAUGAUCAGCCACACUGGGAGUAGGACACGGCCCAGACUCCUGCGGGAGGCAGCAGUGGGGAAUAUUGGACAAUGGGCGGAAGCCUGAUCCAGCAAGGCCGCGUGAGUGAUGAAGGCCUUAGGGUUGUAAAGCUCUUUUACCCGGGAUGAUAAUGACAGUACCGGGAGAAUAAGCUCCGGCUAACUCCGUG